GAUGAACGCUGGCGGCGUGCCUAAUACAUGCAAGUCGAGCGAACGGACGAGAAGCUUGCUUCUCUGCUGUUAGCGGCGGACGGGUGAGUAACGCGUGGAUCACCUACCUAUAAUACUGGGAUAACUACGGGAAACCGGAGCUAAUACCAGAUAAUAUUUUGAACCGCAUGGUGCAAAAGUAAAUGACGGUCUUGCUGUCACUUAUAGAUGGAUCCGCGCUGCAUUAGCUAGUUGGUAAGGUAACGGCUUACCAAGGCAACGAUGCAUAGCCGACCUGAGAGGGUGAUCGGCCACACUGGAACUGAGACACGGUCCAGACUCCUACGGGAGGCAGCAGUAGGGAAUCUUCCGCAAUGGGCGAAAGCCUGACGCAGCAACGCCGCGUGAGUGAUGAAGGUCUUCGGAUCGUAAAACCCUGUUAUUAGGGAAGAACAGAUGUGUAAGUAACUGUGCACAUCUUGACGGUACCUAAUCAGAAAGCCACGGCUAACUACGUG
Molecule: ribosomal RNA, 497 nt
Filed under: uncultured bacterium
Lineage: Bacteria
Description: partial 16S ribosomal RNA
Rfam family: Bacterial small subunit ribosomal RNA
Source: RNAcentral